CGGUGAUAAACCGGAGGAAGGUGGGGACGACGUCAAGUCAUCAUGGCCCUUACGAGUAGGGCUACACACGUGCUACAAUGGCGCAUACAGAGGGCGGCCAACUUGCGAAAGUGAGCGAUCCCAAAAAAGUGCGUCGUAGUCCGGAUUGGAGUCUGCAACUCGACUCCAUGAAGUCGGAAUCGCUAGUAAUCGUGGAUCAGAAUGCCACGGUGAAUACGUUCCC
Molecule: ribosomal RNA, 223 nt
Filed under: Vibrio parahaemolyticus
Lineage: Bacteria; Pseudomonadati; Pseudomonadota; Gammaproteobacteria; Vibrionales; Vibrionaceae
Description: partial 16S ribosomal RNA
Rfam family: Bacterial small subunit ribosomal RNA
Source: RNAcentral